AGAGCGAACGCUGGCGGCAGGCCUAAUACAUGCAAGUCGAACGCACCUUCGGGUGAGUGGCGGACGGGUGAGUAACACGUGGGAACGUGCCCUUUGGUUCGGAAUAAUCCGGGGAAACCUGGCCUAAUACCGGAUGUGCCCUUCGGGGGAAAGAUUUAUCGCCAUUGGAGCGGCCCGCGUCUGAUUAGCUAGUUGGUGGGGUAAAGGCCCACCAAGGCGACGAUCAGUAGCUGGUCUGAGAGGAUGAUCAGCCACACUGGGACUGAGACACGGCCCAGACUCCUACGGGAGGCAGCAGUAGGGAAUCUUGCGCAAUGGGCGAAAGCCUGACGCAGCCAUGCCGCGUGAAUGAUGAAGGUCUUAGGAUUGUAAAAUUCUUUCAGCGGGGAAGAUAAUGACUGUACCCGCAGAAGAAGCUCCGGCUAACUUCGUGCCAGCAGCCGC
Molecule: ribosomal RNA, 444 nt
Filed under: uncultured bacterium
Lineage: Bacteria
Description: SSU rRNA
Rfam family: Bacterial small subunit ribosomal RNA
Source: RNAcentral